Long non-coding RNA from Chinchilla lanigera (long-tailed chinchilla), 309 nucleotides. RefSeq lists it as uncharacterized. NCBI's taxonomy places the organism in Eukaryota, Metazoa, Chordata, Mammalia, Rodentia, Chinchillidae. The transcript is spliced from 3 exons. The record is from RefSeq and is a predicted model, not a curated record.
CAACCACAGGGGCAAAGGGUAGAUAAACACUCAGGCCUCAAUCAUAGCCUGUUUCUCAUGUUUGCUUUUCUCUUUUAAUGGAACAAAAGCAUAAAGACAUAUGUGAGGCAAUCUGGCAAAUACACAGGUGACUCUUGCCUACUACACAACCCAAAGGAAGAACCUAAAAAUUCCUACUGGCUUCAAGCUUCACGGCAGACAUCUGAAAAGCAUCUUCAGGUCCCUGCCGUGCUGGUCUCUCCAACACUGUGGCUUCUUUCACCAAAGUCUGACCCUCAGAAGAGCAACAGAGAGUACCUGCCAGCAAGA